UUGGGAAACUAACCAAGGAGAGAG
This 24-nucleotide non-coding RNA is filed under the name Cricetulus griseus (Chinese hamster). The record is from RNAcentral. Lineage: Eukaryota; Metazoa; Chordata; Mammalia; Rodentia; Cricetidae.